RNAcentral lists this long non-coding RNA (657 nucleotides) under Nicotiana tabacum (common tobacco). Its description in RNAcentral is "long non-coding RNA (NTAB_LNC003688)". Lineage: Eukaryota; Viridiplantae; Streptophyta; Magnoliopsida; Solanales; Solanaceae. The record is from RNAcentral.
AAUUCUUUCCUUUAGUUAGCAUUAGGGUUUUAAACCCUAAACUGAAUUUUUCCAUUCAGUUAGUAUUAGGGUUUUAAACCCUAAACUGAACUUUUCCAUUUAGUCAGCAUUAGGGUUUUAAACCCUAAAUGAACUUUUCCAUUCAGUCAGCAUUAGGGUUUUAAACCCUAAACUGAACUUUUUCCAUUUAGUCAGCAUUAGGGUUUUAAACCCUAAACUGAACUUUUCCAUUUAGUCAGCAUUAGGGUUUUAAACCCUAAACUGAACUCUUUCCUGUAGUCAGCAUUAGGGUUUUAAACCCUAAACUGAAUUUUUCCAUUCAGUCAGCAUUAGGGUUUUAAACCCUAAACUGAAUUUUUCCAUUCAGUCAGUAUUAGGGUUUUAAACCCUAAACUGAACUUUUCCAUUUAGUCAGCAUUAGGGUUUUAAACCCUAAACUGAACUUUUCCAUUCAGUCAGCAUUAGGGUCUUAAACCCUAAACUGAACUUUUUCCAUUUAGUCAGCAUUAGAGUUUUAAACCCUAAACUGAACUUUUCCAUUCAGUCAGCAUUAGGGUUUUAAACCCUAAACUGAAUUUUUCCAUUCAGUCAGCAUUAGGGUUUUAAACCCUAAACUGAAUUUUUCCAUUCAAUCAGUAUUAGGGUUUUAAACCCUAA